ACUUAUUUAAUAUAAAAAGUAUAUUAAGCUUCCAACUUAAAUGUUCUAAAAAGAAAUAAGUA
This 62-nucleotide transfer RNA is filed under the name Trifida elongata. Its description in RNAcentral is "tRNA-Gly". Lineage: Eukaryota; Metazoa; Arthropoda; Insecta; Hemiptera; Cicadellidae. The record is from RNAcentral.